UGGGCAACCUGCCCUCAGCUCUGGGAUAACUCCAAGAAAUUGGUGCUAAUACCGGAUGUGACCGCUGACCGCAUGGUCUGGUGGUGGAAAGAUUCAUCGGCUGAGGAUGGGCCCGCGGCCUAUCAGCUUGUUGGUGGGGUGAUGGCCCACCAAGGCGACGACGGGUAGCCGGCCUGAGAGGGUGACCCGGCCACACGUGGGACUGAGACACGGCCCAGACCUCCGUAGGGAGG
This 233-nucleotide ribosomal RNA is filed under the name uncultured bacterium. Its description in RNAcentral is "partial 16S ribosomal RNA". It matches the Rfam family "Bacterial small subunit ribosomal RNA", at positions 118 to 347 of the family's 1533-position model. The record is from RNAcentral.